GGUAAAAUGGCUGAGCCAAUAAGUAGUAAAUUGUAAAUUUAUAAACGAAUAAUUAUUCUUUUACCAG
RNAcentral lists this transfer RNA (67 nucleotides) under Staphylinidae sp. BMNH 1274206. Its description in RNAcentral is "tRNA-Tyr". Lineage: Eukaryota; Metazoa; Arthropoda; Insecta; Coleoptera; Staphylinidae. The record is from RNAcentral.